UACCAGCACCCCGAGUGGUCGGGACGUUUAUUGGGCCUAAAGCAUCCGUAGCCGGUUCUACAAGUCUUCCGUCAAAUCCACCUGCUUAACAGAUGGGCUGCGGAAGAUACUAUAGAGCUAGGAGGCGGGAGAGGCAAGCGGUACUCGAUGGGUAGGGGUAAAAUCCGUUGAUCCAUUGAAGACCACCAGUGGCGAAGGCGGCUUGCCAGAACGCGCUCGACGGUGAGGGAUGAAAGCUGGGGGAGCAAACAGG
Molecule: ribosomal RNA, 253 nt
Filed under: uncultured bacterium
Lineage: Bacteria
Description: partial 16S ribosomal RNA
Rfam family: Archaeal small subunit ribosomal RNA
Source: RNAcentral